GGGAUGUGGGUGUGAAGGGAUGCAGCCCCCCCAAAAGAAAUCGGGGUGAAUCAGAAAUACCUACUAAUGAUGCCCCAAUGCAAAACCUGAGAAGAGAGAGGGGAAAAGGACAAGCAUAUAUUUGUCUAAAAUCGGGAAAAAGGAAAAACCAUGAAAAAUCGAGGCAGAAACACAUACGUUGAGGUCUAACCACGAACGAUAAAGGUGGAAGAAAGGACUUUUCUGCCUGCAACACCCAAGUACUAAGCUAAUUUCCUUAAUAAACGAAGAGCUAUUGGAAACCAGCAAGGGAAAGACAAAAGCAAACCAAAAAGGGGCAAAAGAGACUGCAAGUCACAGGACAAUACAAAUGGCUGGAAGAAUCAUGACCUGACUGUCUGCAUAGCGAAACGCCAACCUGAGAUACUGGGUGAAGGCGGUUUAUGGCAGCGCGCUGAAUCGCAUGUGGUCACCCACCAUUGCAUGAAUCCACUGCAUAGAAUAGCAAGAGAUUGCAAGGGGAGUAAGCGGGUAGAUUACCAAGCCCGCCUGUGAUAGAAGACAUCCCUGUCACCAGGAAAAAUAACGGGGGUAUCGCUGCCAUAAAGGACCUGAAUCGUAAUAGAUCCAGUGAAAUAAAGCCCGCUGCUGAAGUUUGUAGAAACGAAAUGUGUACAGUGCCAUUUUCCUGAGGCUAUAUGACCUGUGACACCAUAACAGGCUGAAGGCUCAAGCAGAUGAGAAUUCCAACUGCUCCCUAUCAAGUCUGACACCGAUGACAUUUGCAGAGAUGUAAAACGAUGCUACCAGGUAGCCACAUCUGCUGUGUGUCCAUGAUUGCAUGCCAUGUCCAGAAGACGGUGUUUCAUGUCGCACCUUCCCAUCCUGCCAUCAGCCCUACGUCCUACACAGUAACUCAGCUGUUUCCUGUACAGGUCUCUC
RNAcentral lists this long non-coding RNA (921 nucleotides) under Rattus norvegicus (Norway rat). RNAcentral's name for it is "long non-coding RNA NONRATT002268". The record is from RNAcentral. Lineage: Eukaryota; Metazoa; Chordata; Mammalia; Rodentia; Muridae.